UACAGAGACUGCAAGCGUUAUUCGGAUUCACUGGGCUUAAAGGGUGCGUAGGCGGCGGGGCAAGUCGGAUGUGAAAUCUCGGGGCUCAACCUCGAAACUGCAUUCGAUACUGCCUUGCUAGAGUACUGGAGAGGAGAUCGGAAUUUACGGUGUAGCGGUGAAAUGCGUAGAUAUCGUAAGGAAGACCAGUGGCGAAGGCGGAUCUCUGGACAGUUACUGACACUGAGGCACGAAGGCCAGGGGAGCAAACGGG
This 253-nucleotide ribosomal RNA is filed under the name uncultured bacterium. Its description in RNAcentral is "partial 16S ribosomal RNA". It matches the Rfam family "Bacterial small subunit ribosomal RNA", at positions 524 to 776 of the family's 1533-position model. The record is from RNAcentral.